Molecule: long non-coding RNA, 401 nt
Organism: Lolium rigidum
Lineage: Eukaryota; Viridiplantae; Streptophyta; Magnoliopsida; Poales; Poaceae
Exons: 3
Source: RefSeq, a predicted model, not a curated record
GACGAAGAGACAAACUGCCCAGGAAAGCUUUACCCUGAGAGUGAAGCAGAGGAGAUAGAACGCAAAUGGGCAAAAAGCACCCUCCAACAGUUUAUAGAGCACACCAAGAUCUGCGACGAGAUAUUGGCCCUGGGUGAUGAGGAUGAGACCCCUUUACCUCCUCAUCCUAUGCAGGUGUUUCCUGACGCAACAUCUGCAUGUGUUCUUGGGUUAGACUGCCACCACCGUGUUUACAGGACCCAUGACACUUCUACCACCCCAUCAACUCUUGGGUAUCGCAAACCACAAGCUAUGCUACAAAUAUUUUCUUUGCGUUUAUCAAGCUUUGAGCCCUCGUAUACAACUAGUGUGUACGGGAUAUUUGCCAUUCGGGAUAACUUUGACCCGCGCCGGAAUUAUGU